UAAAGUCUUAGCCCACCUGAGCCCAAUCACAGGUGCGCCCCGACAGUAUAUAUUCGCGAGAAAGAAAUACUAAUUAGGGCUAGGGUUUCGAUCGAUAAUGGUGAGGACGAAACGGAGUGAACGAAUUGGUCGCAACCAUAAAGCUCCUCGAGUGCAGUUGUAUUAUGGUGAAGCUUGGUUUGAUCUUUACGACCCUCCUAACAAAACUCUACCUACUGAUGAAUUGAAUAGUCUUGUUAUUCUCGCUCAGUUGGCCAUUUACCACUACAACGUCAACCAGGGUACCAAUUAUGAGAAUGUCAAGGUGCUCCAGGCAGAAAGGCGGUCUUGUUAUUAUAAGUAUAAUAUCGUAUUCGAAGCCUCGUUGUUACAUGAUAACAGUGCAGUUGAAAUCUUUAAAGCAGAAGUCGUUACCUCUAACCCUGGGUGUCGGACUAUGAAGUCGGUGGAGAUUAAGUCUGUCAAGAUCAACUCUCUACAAUCAUCUGAUGAGUCAGAUGAUCAAGUGUUUUGAAAUUCGUAUUUGGAGAUUAUAGGUUUCGAGUGAUGAAAGCCUUCAACAAGUAUAGUUGUGUGAGAUUUGCAGUUGGAAGGAUAUAUUACAUCAUAUAAUUGAACAUAUGUGUAGGUUUUUUUAAUUUUUUGUUUGAUUCUCUUUUUUAAAAUUUGUUUUCUUUAGUGUUCUGGUUCUAUGAUGAAUUCGUAUUUUAUGAUAAUUAUCAGAAACACCUAGUUUCAGUAAUGAGUGAUAAUUAAGCUAAACGACAUGAUUGAUCAUGCUUGAUUUUGUGUUUAGAUCCCUACAUUAUGCAUGCUGGAAUCAUUUUAAUGGUCUUGUUUUGUGUUUAUAUAUGUUUAUAUAUGAAUGUGGAUAGAUUCAGCCAUUCAGGGAGUGCUGUAGUAUAUGAUGUUAGGUCUGAUUCAAUUGAGCUGAUUUUGCUUAAAGUUUUUCAACUUUAUCUGGCCUUUUAUGGUUGCUGGGGUUGAUUUAAUGGUUUUUUUUUUUUUCAUAAUUUAGGAUUAUACGUUUCACAAAUCUUGUAUGGUGGGUUUAUCCUCUGUUGUCCCGGGAGACCCGGGUUCGACUCUGGCUCAUCCGAUAAGUAUUAGGACAGAUUCUAAUUUGUAAGGCAUAUAAGCCUGCAUUGUCAAAAAAAAAAAUUUGUUCACCCCUUCGCGAUUGUUAUUACUGGUAAAGCACAUGAUGGUCGGAGAAACCCUUCUCGAGUGUGUGGUGACUGAGAGCAUGCUCCUCCUCCUCAAAAAGACUAAUCCCAUCCCCAAACCGCCCUUGUCUUCUCAGUUCCUUUUUCUUAUCAUUUUCUCUAAAAUUGCGUUUGGUAUGGUGGCUAUAAAUGAUUUGUGCUCAAUGACAUGACUUGUCUUGAUCACAGAAACUACCUGUAGCUUGUAAGUAAGAUAGAUUGAGUAGAACUGUGACAGGGGAUCUCAAUAUGCAAUUUUGUUUAUAUGGUUGUAAAUUAUGUGGCUGGGGGGAAGUCGAUUUUGUAAGGCUGGAUCGCAGUACGAGUCCUUUCUUCAAUUUCUCGAAGCCAGAGACAACUGCUACAAGGUGGAACCGAGUCUCCCGUGUGCUCCCAAGAUGCGAGAGCACAGAAAUUGGCUCUUCAGCAGUCCAAGUAUUUUCUAGGAGCAUGCCAGGAUAGCUUUUAAUACGAAGGAGCAUGCCAUUAUCACUUUGUUAAGUGAUUUAGCAAAAGAAAAAAUUGUGUGUUAAGUGACCAUUUCUCGUAAAAUCUCAAGGUGUUGUGAAAAGGGCUUACCAGGAUCAUAUUGUAUUCUAACACACUAUUACGUUUCUGUAAUAUCUAGCACUUCAUGAGGGACUGAUAUCGUUUGUCUGGAAAAAGGAUGAGCAGAUGCCAUGGUGGGGAAUGCUUUUGGCGUUAUUCUUAGAUUGGAUUGUCACCCUUCCAGCCGGAGUUAUUCAAGCAACUACCAACCAGGAUCUCCGUUUUACUUGAGUCGGCCCUGCUCCUAUCUUCAUAGACGGCAGAUUAACAGGAGACAUCAGGCCUGCUAUUAUCUUCAUAGACGGCAGAUUAGCGGGAGACAUAAUACUUUCUUUUGGAAGUUUGAAUAAGUUUAUGCGUGCAAGAAUCGUAAACUUUUCGAGGGUGUCAAGACUCAAAUUAUUAUUGAGAGAUGAGAUAUAUAUAC
Molecule: long non-coding RNA, 2181 nt
Organism: Daucus carota subsp. sativus
Lineage: Eukaryota; Viridiplantae; Streptophyta; Magnoliopsida; Apiales; Apiaceae
Exons: 5
Source: RefSeq, a predicted model, not a curated record